Molecule: ribosomal RNA, 1851 nt
Filed under: Triticum aestivum (bread wheat)
Lineage: Eukaryota; Viridiplantae; Streptophyta; Magnoliopsida; Poales; Poaceae
Description: partial small subunit ribosomal RNA
Source: RNAcentral
AUGGCGACCGCAGGGAGUUCAAGGGGAAGUAGUGGCGAGUUCGUGUUAAGCGAGGAGCUCUAUCAGGCUGGAGUCUCCGUGCAUGAGAGUAUGCGCUGGAUCCAGGUCCAGGAAGACAAGAUGGCUGAGAUCUCGGCGAUUCGCAAUAAUUUGCUUGGGUUGAAAUCGGAUGCACUCGAGUUGUUUGAGAAGAUCUCCCGUCAGGCAAAUUCCGAGACCCAGAAGAGGCUCUGCGCGAUGCAGAAGACCCAUGGUGUGAAAUCGUUGGAGACCCAGAGCAAGAUUGGUGACGACGGUGAGAUGGAAACGAGGUGUGAGGAGUCGAAGCGAAGGAGUGCCGCGUCCCUGGAACUCGAGGAUCUGCUCCAUCGUGCCGCACUCCAAACCCAGAUGUGGAUAGGUGAAGGCGCAGAAAGUGAGGAGCUGCUCGAUCUGGCCGCAAAGGAGACCCAGGGGAGGAUCGUUGGCCAGGUUCACAGUCUGUCCUCCCUACCCAAAUUCGUCAGUGAGGUCAUGUUGAAAUUCGGACAAGUUGCCGGUGACAUUUCUAUGGUAUUAGAAGCGCAGCAGACCCGGAAGGAGGCACUAGCAGUGCUGAGCUUCGGCUUCAGGCUACAGUUGCUCUCCAAGCAGAUUGAUGAGUUGUGGCGUGAGAUGUGCACAUUACUGAGAUCUUUCUCGCCAGAAAACAAAGAUGUUAUGAAAACCAUGAUUAUGUUUACCCGUGAACCCUACCUACGUGGAAUCUGCAAAUUGCAAUUGAUCUCUGAACACAUCAGUAUGCUCCAGCAGAUGGACUCGGAUUUCGAUUCGAAAGUGAAAUCAAUGAUUGUAGAGUUGAAAUCGGAAUCUUUCUUGUCAGCCAUGGAGAAGUUGGAGGAGAGCCGCAGGGAAGGCUGUGGAGACCAAAAAGUUUCCAUGGAGACCAAGAAGUUGGAGGAGGAGAAGAGAUUCACUGCCUACCGACUCUACUGGGAAUGUACAUGGGGCAACACCAACAGCUUUGAAGACCAGACGUUAUUGAGCCCCAUGCUCUUUACACACUGCACACCACGCCGCAUCCCAAUUGAAGCUGUCGCCGGGAAUACCUUGCAGAUCUACUCCAUCAAAAUCUCGUUAACAAACAAAAUCAACUUCCCACUGGAUGUGUACGGAGUGGUCGCGGCCCGAGAUGCCGUGGACCAUUGUCGCAACCCUAUCUUCCUUCGUACAAGGAAUUCCUGCCAAACCCUCACAGAACAAGAUCCUUUCUUGCGAUUGACUGGCCCGGUUCGUGCAAUUGUGUCGAUGGAGACUGUUCACAUUGAAAUCCAACUAACAGUAAAGGGCGCAACAAAAUCUGAAGAUAGAGCAUUGAUUAGUACAUUCUACUUCUACAAUGGUGACAGUUCCCCGCAGGUAGCUGAAAACAGCUUUUGCACUGUGGAGUUAUGCAAUGAGCAACUUAAACAGUCGGUCCAAGCCACUAUCCUAAGCGUGUUUGUUAGAGCUGAAGCUGGAUCAUUGCCUUUCCCAAAUGGUGCCCGAGUUGUUUGCUCUUCACUACCUCAGGAUGUUGAUAAACAUAUUGCUGGGCCCUCAUCUAGGCAAGUUGUAGUUCUUGAUUUAAAAGGUGGAAUGGCUAAACCUGGCUACCUUGAUCUGACAAGGCAUGUAGUUUCUGUGGAAUUAAACGGACAGUUGAAAGUCCUCAUGGAGACCUUUUCGCCUUCGCAGUCUGUUGAAAGUACUCGUGUCCUCUUCAUCCCGCCCCGAAAAUGUAACAUAAGUAAACAUGAGGGCAACUUUGGUGGCUAUGAGGUGGAGAUUACUAUUGCUUGGUCCUUGAUUCCCUCGAAGAUGCUAUCCUGA